This 253-nucleotide ribosomal RNA is filed under the name uncultured bacterium. RNAcentral describes it as "partial 16S ribosomal RNA". It matches the Rfam family "Bacterial small subunit ribosomal RNA", at positions 524 to 776 of the family's 1533-position model. The record is from RNAcentral.
GACGAACCGUGCGAACGUUGUUCGGAAUCACUGGGCUUAAGGGGCGCGUAGGCGGCUCAUCAAGUCCGGGGUGAAAGCCCCCAGCUCAACUGGGGAAGUGCCUCGGAUACUGGUGAGCUCGAGGGAGGUAGGGGCGGAUGGAACUUCCGGUGGAGCGGUGAAAUGCGUUGAUAUCGGAAGGAACGCCGGUGGCGAAAGCGAUCCGCUGGCCCUCUACUGACGCUGAGGCGCGAAAGCCAGGGGAGCAAACGGG